UACGAAGGGGGCUAGCGUUGUUCGGAAUUACUGGGCGUAAAGCGCACGUAGGCGGAUACUUAAGUCAGGGGUGAAAUCCCGGGGCUCAACCCCGGAACUGCCUUUGAUACUGAGGAUCUUGAGUUCGGGAGAGGUGAGUGGAACUGCGAGUGUAGAGGUGAAAUUCGUAGAUAUUUCGCAAGAACACCAGUGGCGAAGGCGGCUCACUGGCCCGAUACUGACGCUGAGGCACGAAAGCGUGGGGAGCAAACAGG
Molecule: ribosomal RNA, 254 nt
Filed under: uncultured bacterium
Lineage: Bacteria
Description: partial 16S ribosomal RNA
Rfam family: Bacterial small subunit ribosomal RNA
Source: RNAcentral